GACGAACGCUGGCGGCGUGCCUAACACAUGCAAGUCGAACGGUCCGGCACUCAACCGACCCUCAGUCUAGCUGUAGGUGAGGUUAAGUGCCGGAUAGUGGCGGACGGGUGAGUAACGCGUGGGCAACCAACCCUGUACAGUGGGAUAACACCGGGAAACCGGUGCUAAUACCGCAUGACACCUAGAUGGUGCAUACUGUUUAGGUUAAAGGGCAAAACCGGUACGGGACGGGCCCGCGUCCCAUUAGCUGGUUGGUGAGGUAACGGGCUCACCAAGGCGACGAUGGGUAGCCGACCUGAGAGGGUGACCGGCCACACUGGGACUGAGACACGGCCCAGACUCCUACGGGAGGCAGCAGUGGGGAAUAUUGCGCAAUGGACGGAAGUCUGACGCAGCGACGCCGCGUGAGCGACGAAGGCCUUGGGUCGUAAAGCUCUGUUCUUGGGGACGAAUAAAUGACGGUACCAAGGAGAAAGCCCGGCUACUACGUG
RNAcentral lists this ribosomal RNA (491 nucleotides) under uncultured bacterium. RNAcentral's name for it is "bacterial SSU rRNA". It matches the Rfam family "Bacterial small subunit ribosomal RNA", at positions 28 to 507 of the family's 1533-position model. The record is from RNAcentral.